CCUCCUUUCUAAGGUUGUCUUAGGUGGAUGUAAUGUCACCAUCCUUGAAUUCCUUCCAGAAGAUAUAUAACAGGCGCGUAGCUCAGUUGGUUAGAGCGCACGACUGAUAAUCGUGAGGUCGGCAGUUCAAACCUGCCCGUGCCUACCAAAAGUGUGAGCUAUUGCACGAUUUAUAUGUAUUUUUGGAAAGAAUUGGCCAGAAUUUCUGGUGAUGUUUGACAUAGUUAGUGAAAAGAUCUCAAGAACUUUGACAUAUGAUGCUUGACCGCAAUCAUAUGUUUUUGGUGCUUACGUUUCGUAUAAUAAGGCUUUAAUUAAGUUCCUGCCUUUGGUAUACGGGGCGAUCAAGCGUCAAUAAGGGCAUUUGGUGGAUGCCUUGGUGUUGAAAGGCCAUAAAGGACCUAAUACCUGCCAUAGCU
Molecule: transfer RNA, 419 nt
Filed under: uncultured Alphaproteobacteria bacterium
Lineage: Bacteria; Pseudomonadati; Pseudomonadota; Alphaproteobacteria
Description: partial 16S-23S ribosomal RNA intergenic spacer
Rfam family: tRNA (bases 72-145)
Source: RNAcentral